CUUUGAUACAUGAUCAGUAUCAGGACGAACUACAGCUGGACAUAAAUGAAAGACAAACAGACGUGUGUUUCUUCGGUGACCGGAUGAGCCAGGUCCGCACACCUCCUUCAGACUUUCACCGUUUGGCAAGGACUUCAGAAACUGAUUAACAGAACCUCCAGGAUGCUUCAUGUGAAAGACAGACAGGCCUUUAACUUUCAGUUUGGUGUCUUCACUGGUUUUGCCUGCUGUCAUCCUGAUCCCCUCAUGCAGAGGACAGUCGCAGGUGAUUUGUUCACCUCAGCCAAUCAUAGCCCUGGCUAGUGAUGAUGUUGUGUUUUCAUGUCACCUUGAACCUCCUAUCAGUGCCGGUUCCAGGACAGCGGAGUGGACCAGACCUGGUUUGGACCCAGAGUACAUCCAUGUCCACCAAGAUGGACGACUGUUGCAUGAU
Long non-coding RNA from Lates calcarifer (barramundi perch), 433 nucleotides. RefSeq lists it as uncharacterized. The record is from RefSeq and is a predicted model, not a curated record. The transcript is spliced from 3 exons. NCBI's taxonomy places the organism in Eukaryota, Metazoa, Chordata, Actinopteri, Centropomidae.